Long non-coding RNA from Xenia sp. Carnegie-2017, 275 nucleotides. RefSeq lists it as uncharacterized. NCBI's taxonomy places the organism in Eukaryota, Metazoa, Cnidaria, Anthozoa, Malacalcyonacea, Xeniidae. The record is from RefSeq and is a predicted model, not a curated record. The transcript is spliced from 3 exons.
UAUGUUUUAGUUUUGAAGUAUUGAAUCGUUUCCAUUCGCCAAAAUCAUUUAACUCUUGGCUGAAUCCCAGCUACCCGGGCUCAUGUAUUCAGCCCGUAAAACGUAAGUUAACAACCUAAAUUGCAUCCACUUUGUGUGAAACUUCGUAGAUAUACCCGAAAUUGGAGAUUCUGUAAUCAUUUGUCACAGCCACUUGUGGAAAAAUGACAAAGUUUUUGCAACACAACCCACAAAAUUAAAAAAUUGUCUCUUAUUCCACAAAAAAUUUGGCAACG